This 1454-nucleotide long non-coding RNA is filed under the name Athene cunicularia (burrowing owl). Its description in RNAcentral is "lncRNA (ENSACUG00000010044.1)". The record is from RNAcentral. Lineage: Eukaryota; Metazoa; Chordata; Aves; Strigiformes; Strigidae.
UGCAAAGAAAGCAUCUUCAUGGGCAUGUCUCUCUCUACCUUUCAGGCAGCAGCAUAGGAGGAAAGUCAGAGGAGGAUGGAAACAUGACCCCUCCACCCCUGAAAUGGGGAGGAAUGCUUUUGGGAGACUGAAACACUACCACUGGCGUGAUUACCACCUCUCAGCCCUCUCCAGCUCCGUGCUCCCAGGGACAUUUGCAGGCUGCAAUAACCUGGGUUUUCAAAGGAGCCCUGAAAACCUGCCAAAGCUGCCCCUGCAGAGCUGCCAUCCUAAAGCACAGGUCUUGCCCCAGCUGGUGUUACAACCCAGCACACCACCAAUGAAGGCCCUUCCCAGCCUGCCACCCCGCAACAUACCGCUGCCUGCCAUGCCCUGCCACGUUGACCUCCCCAGCCACCUGCUCCCCCUCUAUGAGCAACAUAAGCUCUUCAACAAGUUCGGGAAGCCAGUUUGAAAAUUUAAAGUGCCAUUCAACUUUUUUUUUUUUUUUUCCUUUUUUCUUUUAACACCAUCACUUCCUUGAAGCUCUGCAGAACUCAGGGAAGUAUUUCAUAAGAGCCAAUUACUGCACCUGGGUUUUCAAAUGAAGAAAAUUUGACACUUCAUGUUGAAAGGCUUUUUGAUAUAAUCCUUUUAUUUCCCCCCCCCCCAUAUAUGUCCAGAAGUGCACAUUUCAAACAAGAGUUCCUGGCUUACAAGCUUCUUAAUUGAUCAUUUUGCUGAGAUGCAUAAAGCCAAGUCUGAGCAGCUCCAGUUUAACCUACAGGCUGAGCAUGUGCAGACUUUCAGGUUAUAUACACAAGAGUCUGAUUUUCUGUUUAGGGCUCUCUUAAAGGUUGAAAGUAAAGACUGCCAGUUACCAGGAACAAGGAAUCUAUGUCAUUAGAUAACUGGAAGCAUUUACAAUUCAUUGCACUUGAAUGUAGGCUGAGAUUUAAAGGUUUUUUGUUGUUGUUCAGAACUCCCCAUAUCCUCCCAUUUCUACAGACAAUCUUAGACUUGCAAGAUGCAAUGACAAGUGUGCAAAGACAGCCACUCAAUAGGAAAACAUGAAUUUACCUUUAACACAAAGGACCUAGUACAUCUGGAAAAAGAAAAUAAUCCAACACACACUUGGGGUUUUCCAUCCCUUCUCUCUUACAUUAGAAAUUCACAUCAGGAAUAUCAGGAUGCUACAGCAGCAUCCAAGAGCUAGCUUAAGUGCCAUCAUUUGCAUUCAGAAAGCAAUGACUCCCCUAUUUCUGUCAAGGAUUUUCUGUGUGAAAAUACAGGGGCAUGUUCCAGGCAGUACAUGCAGAGCCUGGCCAAGCAGCUUCAGGACACCUCAGCACCUAUUUGCACUGCAGGACAGACUGCCCAACACAGCCUGGGCACACAAGGCUUGUUGAGUACAUGUGUGCAGAGAAAAGGUGUUUUCUCUCAGGAGGUAUUACAGCAUAAGAAGAGGUGCUGGC